This is a long non-coding RNA of Amphibalanus amphitrite, 827 nucleotides long. RefSeq lists it as uncharacterized. Lineage: Eukaryota; Metazoa; Arthropoda; Thecostraca; Balanomorpha; Balanidae. The record is from RefSeq and is a predicted model, not a curated record. The transcript is spliced from 2 exons.
CAGGAGACGUGCUGUUGGCGGUGUUCAAGAGCCUGUCGGGCGGCGGAGUGCUGACUAUCGACCUGGUCACUGGGCUGGUGCUAGACAGCUGGGUGGCCGCUCAGGGUCUGAACGAGCCCCACGAUCUAGCCGUUACCUCCGACGGCCGCACCACCUAUGUCGGUGAGCUGGUGCCCGCCCGCGUCUCAAAGUUCGUGCUGCAGCCGGAUUUUUAUGAGCGUCCUUAGCGCCAUCUAGCGGGAGCUUAAUAAGCCAAGAGCCCAGCUCCGAGCCAAGAGUCUGGCUCCAAGCUAAGAGCCAGGAGGUAGCUGUCGGCGGUGGCUCCGAGCUGCGCGGCGCAGAGCGACACAGAGCUUAUGUAACAGCCCACCUCUAUUGUAUGCGUGUGUGUGCUAUUUUUGUAAUGUGUAACAAUAACGCUUCUUAUCGCUUUAUGGAAGGUGUUGAUAUUGUCGAAGGAGGCGUUUCCUUGGAGGUGAGGCCUGGGACUAUCGUAAGACCGCGCUGGGCUGAGGCUGGGAUGGUGGUGAUGGAUUCCAGUGAGCCGCUGUCUGUUCCACAGAGCUCGUUUAAUGUGCCCGCGCCAUGUUACGUAACCGUUCCCUGUUCUGUGACGAUGUGUAGUAGUGUUAACCGUCUUUAUCGUCAAUAGCUUGUAGUCAAGAGUCACGGUGUAGAUGCGUCUUGUUUACUCAAACUGCGGUUUCCUGAUGCAGCAAGCUGAUUAUUUCAAGUCAUUAAAAAUACAGAAUGUAGACUGUUACGUGCGAUUACCUUUGCUAACCGUGUUCUGUUCCUUGAAUAAAUCGAAAGCCAGUCCAGCCAAC